AAGGGUAGAUGGCGCAGUAUUCUAGUCGGUAUGAGUAUUUCUGAAGGCGGGGCUAAAAAUCCGUCAAAGGGCACAUCGAUGAAGUUCCUGGUGCUGGCUUUCGACGCCCAGUUGGGGGCUGGUGCUGGGAGUUAAGAAGGAUGGGGCAACCUACAAAGGCAUGUAGGCAUUGACCCUACCUUCGUGGAGACCUGAGUUGUGUGGUCGGUCUCCGAAAGGAACCGGUUACGGCUCAGGGAAACCUGCACUCGAUACCGUGAGGGUGUUGCGUGCAGCGUAGCCUGCCUUGAGUGGUUUUGGUGGAGAGGCAUAAGUUUGUAUUACAAUAAUUUAACAAAACAAAGAUUGAAGGGCGCGCCCGUAAAAGUUUUGAAUCUGGCCUUAAAACCAAAACUGCAAAAGAGGCUAGGAAAUACCCAAUACCGUUGAGGAAAGCUCCUAGACUGUUCAUACCCAUGAGGUAUAUUGAGGAUUACAGUGCGGUCUAAGUGGCAAUCUAGCCCUGUUCUCGGUGACGGGACAGAAAGAGUUUUAAAGGGAAACCGCCUAGCUGGCGACAGCAGGUAGCUCUUUGGGAAAACCAGCUAGACCUUAAGCCGCAAAAUUUACUCAAUAUACUGCCAUCUACCCAU
RNAcentral lists this small RNA (632 nucleotides) under marine eukaryotic metagenome. The record is from RNAcentral.